RNAcentral lists this microRNA precursor (141 nucleotides) under Brassica oleracea var. oleracea. RNAcentral's name for it is "MIR9563 microRNA precursor family". It matches the Rfam family "MIR9563 microRNA precursor family". The record is from Rfam by way of RNAcentral. Lineage: Eukaryota; Viridiplantae; Streptophyta; Magnoliopsida; Brassicales; Brassicaceae.
GGAAUAUAAGAAACCAUCUCUUAACUUUUAACUAAAAAAGUUAAGAACCGACUCUUAAAUAAACAUAUUUUUUUGGUUCUUAUUUAAGAGUCGGUUCUUAACUUUUUUAGUUAAAAAUUAAGAAACAGUUUCUUAUAUUCC